AUUGAACGCUGGCGGCAGGCCUAACACAUGCAAGUCGAACGAAUGGCGGACGAGUGAGUAAUGUCUGGGAAACUGCCUGAUGGAGGGGGAUAACUACUGGAAACGGUAGCUACUACCGCAUACCAUCGAAUGUGCCCAGAUGGGAUUAGCUAGUAGGUGGGGUAAAGGCUCACCUAGGCGACGAUCCCUAGCUGGUCUGAGAGGAUGACCAGCCCCACUGGAACUGAGACACGGUCCAGCCUCCUACGGGAGGCAGCAGUGGGGAAGAUUGCACAAUGGGCUCAAGCCUGAUGCAGCCAUGCCGCGUGUAUGAAGAAGGCCUUCGGGUUGUAAAGUACUUUCAGCUGGUAGGCGUUACCCGCAGAAGAAGCACCGGCUAACUCCGUGCCAGCAGCCGCGGUAAUAC
This 406-nucleotide ribosomal RNA is filed under the name uncultured bacterium. Its description in RNAcentral is "partial 16S ribosomal RNA". It matches the Rfam family "Bacterial small subunit ribosomal RNA", at positions 30 to 526 of the family's 1533-position model. The record is from RNAcentral.